CUUGCUCCUCUGACGUUAGCGGCGGACGGGUGAGUAACACGUGGAUAACCUACCUAUAAGACUGGGAUAACUUCGGGAAACCGGAGCUAAUACCGGAUAAUAUAUUGAACCGCAUGGUUCAAUAGUGAAAGACGGUUUUGCUGUCACUUAUAGAUGGAUCCGCGCCGCAUUAGCUAGUUGGUAAGGUAACGGCUUACCAAGGCAACGAUGCGUAGCCGACCUGAGAGGGUGAUCGGCCACACUGGAACUGAGACACGGUCCAGACUCCUACGGGAGGCAGCAGUAGGGAAUCUUCCGCAAUGGGCGAAAGCUUGACGGAGCAACGCCGCGUGAGUGAUGAAGGUCUUCGGAUCGUAAAACUCUGUUAUUAGGGAAGAACAAAUGUGUAAGUAACUAUGCACGUCUUGACGGUACCUAAUCAGAAAGCCACGGCUAACUACGUGCCAGCAGCCGCGGUAAUACGUAGGUGGCAAGCGUUAUCCGGAAUUAUUGGGCGUAAAGCGCGCGUAGGCGGUUUUUUAAGUCUGAUGUGAAAGCCCACGGCUCAACCGUGGAGGGUCAUUGGAAACUGGAAAACUUGAGUGCAGAAGAGGAAAGUGGGAUUCCAUGUGUAGCGGUGAAAUGCGCAGAGAUAUGGAGGAACACCAGUGGCGAAGGCGACUUUC
RNAcentral lists this ribosomal RNA (665 nucleotides) under uncultured Staphylococcus sp. Its description in RNAcentral is "bacterial SSU rRNA". It matches the Rfam family "Bacterial small subunit ribosomal RNA", at positions 79 to 729 of the family's 1533-position model. Lineage: Bacteria; Bacillati; Bacillota; Bacilli; Caryophanales; Staphylococcaceae. The record is from RNAcentral.